ACCUUGCUGGCUCAGUUGAAAGAGCAUGUGACUCUGGAUCCCGAGAUCAUGAGUUCGAGCCCCACGUGGGGUG
RNAcentral lists this transfer RNA (73 nucleotides) under Felis catus (domestic cat). It matches the Rfam family "tRNA". From Rfam's summary of the family: Transfer RNA (tRNA) molecules are approximately 80 nucleotides in length. The record is from Rfam by way of RNAcentral. Lineage: Eukaryota; Metazoa; Chordata; Mammalia; Carnivora; Felidae.